RNAcentral lists this ribosomal RNA (181 nucleotides) under uncultured bacterium. RNAcentral's name for it is "partial 16S ribosomal RNA". It matches the Rfam family "Bacterial small subunit ribosomal RNA", at positions 338 to 521 of the family's 1533-position model. The record is from RNAcentral.
CCUACGGGAGGCAGCAGUGAGGAAUAUUGCGCAAUGGGCGAAAGCCUGACGCAGCGACGCCGCGUGGGGGAUGAAGGUUCUCGGAUUGUAAACCCCUUUCAUGAGGAAAGAUAAAGUGGGUAACCACUUAGACGGUACCUCAAGAAGAAGCCACGGCUAACUUCGUGCCAGCAGCCGCGGU